RNAcentral lists this ribosomal RNA (501 nucleotides) under uncultured bacterium. RNAcentral describes it as "bacterial SSU rRNA". It matches the Rfam family "Bacterial small subunit ribosomal RNA", at positions 24 to 518 of the family's 1533-position model. The record is from RNAcentral.
UCAGGAUGAACGCUAGCGACAGGCCUAACACAUGCAAGUCGAGGGGCAACACAAGGAGCAAUCUGAGGUGGCGACCGGCGCACGGGUGAGUAACACGUAUGCAACCUGCCUGUAAGCGGGGAAUAACCCGUUGAAAGACGGACUAAUACCGCAUAAUACUAAAUUACUGCAUGGUAAUUUAUUUAAACAUUUAUGGCUUACAGAUGGGCAUGCGCAUGAUUAGCUAGUUGGAGAGGUAACGGCUCCCCAAGGCAACGAUCAUUAGGGGUUCUGAGAGGAAGGUCCCCCCACACUGGUACUGAGACACGGACCAGACUCCUACGGGAGGCAGCAGUGAGGAAUAUUGGUCAAUGGACGAGAGUCUGAACCAGCCAAGUCGCGUGCAGGAAGAAUUGUCCUAUGGAUUGUAAACUGCUUUUGCAGGGGAAUAAAGUGCAUCACGUGUGAUGUUUUGUAUGUACUCUGCGAAUAAGGAUCGGCUAACUCCGUGCCAGCCGCCGC